GACGAACGCUGGCGGCGUGCUUAACACAUGCAAGUCGAACGGAAAGGCCCUGCUUUUGUGGGGUGCUCGAGUGGCGAACGGGUGAGUAACACGUGAGUAACCUGCCCUUGACUUUGGGAUAACUUCAGGAAGCUGGGGCUAAUACCGGAUAGGAGCUCCUGCUGCAUGGUGGGGGUUGGAAAGUUUCGGCGGUUGGGGAUGGACUCGCGGCUUAUCAGCUUGUUGGUGGGGUAGUGGCUUACCAAGGCUUUGACGGGUAGCCGGCCUGAGAGGGUGACCGGCCACAUUGGGACUGAGAUACGGCCCAGACUCCUACGGGAGGCAGCAGUGGGGAAUAUUGCACAAUGGGCGGAAGCCUGAUGCAGCAACGCCGCGUGCGGGAUGACGGCCUUCGGGUUGUAAACCGCUUUCGCCUGUGACGAAGCGUGAGUGACGGUAAUGGGCAAAGAAGCACCGGCUAACUACGUG
This 468-nucleotide ribosomal RNA is filed under the name uncultured bacterium. Its description in RNAcentral is "partial 16S ribosomal RNA". It matches the Rfam family "Bacterial small subunit ribosomal RNA", at positions 28 to 507 of the family's 1533-position model. The record is from RNAcentral.